AUGCUGCAACCAGCAGGUCCUAGCGACGAAGAUGACGACCUCCUGGUGCUUCAAUCGAAAUUUUGCUGGAACCAGCUCUCUGUUUUGCUGGAAACGGCAUCGCUGGGUGCUGGGACGGGCUCUCUGUUUUGCUACAAUCAAUCACUAGGAGUUCUUCCUCAUGAGUCGUUUUGCUGGAACCGGUGUUCAAUUUUGCUGGAACCGGGUAAUUUUCUGCUACAAUCGAUCAAUGGAGUUCUUGCUGAUGAGUUGUUAUUUGCUGGAACCAGUGUUCAAUUUUGUUGGAACCAGGUAAAUAUUUGCUUCAACCGACAAAUGGAGGAUUUGUUGCUUUUGGAGUUUUGUGCUCGGCAUGACUGUCCAAGUUGA
This 369-nucleotide ribosomal RNA is filed under the name Triticum aestivum (bread wheat). RNAcentral's name for it is "partial small subunit ribosomal RNA". The record is from RNAcentral. Lineage: Eukaryota; Viridiplantae; Streptophyta; Magnoliopsida; Poales; Poaceae.